Molecule: ribosomal RNA, 484 nt
Filed under: uncultured bacterium
Lineage: Bacteria
Description: partial 16S ribosomal RNA
Rfam family: Bacterial small subunit ribosomal RNA
Source: RNAcentral
AUUGAACGUUGGCGGCAGGCCUAACACAUGCAAGUCGAGCGGAUGAAGGGAGCUUGCUCCUGGAUUCAGCGGCGGACGGGUGAGUAAUGCCUAGGAAUCUGCCUGGUAGUGGGGGAUAACGUCCUGAAACGGGCGCUAAUACCGCAUACGUCCUGAGGGAGAAAGUGGGGGAUCUUCGGACCUCACGCUAUCAGAUGAGCCUAGGUCGGAUUAGCUAGUUGGUGGGGUAAAGGCCUACCAAGGCGACGAUCCGUAACUGGUCUGAGAGGAUGAUCAGUCACACUGGAACUGAGACACGGUCCAGACUCCUACGGGAGGCAGCAGUGGGGAAUAUUGGACAAUGGGCGAAAGCCUGAUCCAGCCAUGCCGCGUGUGUGAAGAAGGUCUUCGGAUUGUAAAGCACUUUAAGUUGGGAGGAAGGGCAGUAAGUUAAUACCUUGCUGUUUUGACGGUACCAACAGAAUAAGCACCGGCUAACUUCGUG